UGAGGUAUAGCUCAGUGGUAGAGCAUCUGCCUAGCAUGUACAAGACCCUGAGCUCAAUCCCUAGUACUGCAA
This 72-nucleotide transfer RNA is filed under the name Fukomys damarensis (Damara mole-rat). It matches the Rfam family "tRNA". Rfam says of the family: Transfer RNA (tRNA) molecules are approximately 80 nucleotides in length. The record is from Rfam by way of RNAcentral. Lineage: Eukaryota; Metazoa; Chordata; Mammalia; Rodentia; Bathyergidae.